GACCCCGUCGUCUAGUGGCCAAGGACGACAGGAUUUCCUCCUGUAAACUCAAGUUCGAAUCUUGACGGGGUCGCCA
RNAcentral lists this transfer RNA (76 nucleotides) under Arcobacter nitrofigilis DSM 7299. Its description in RNAcentral is "tRNA-Glu (TTC) (tRNA-Glu-TTC-2-1)". It matches the Rfam family "tRNA". Rfam says of the family: Transfer RNA (tRNA) molecules are approximately 80 nucleotides in length. Their secondary structure includes four short double-helical elements and three loops (D, anti-codon, and T loops). Lineage: Bacteria; Pseudomonadati; Campylobacterota; Epsilonproteobacteria; Campylobacterales; Arcobacteraceae. The record is from RNAcentral.